GGGGGCGUAGUUCAGUUGGUUUAGAACGCCGGCCUGUCACGCCGGAGGUCGUGGGUUCGAAUCCCAUCGCUCCCGCCA
This 78-nucleotide transfer RNA is filed under the name Deltaproteobacteria bacterium. RNAcentral describes it as "tRNA-Asp". It matches the Rfam family "tRNA". Rfam says of the family: Transfer RNA (tRNA) molecules are approximately 80 nucleotides in length. Lineage: Bacteria; Pseudomonadati; Myxococcota; Myxococcia. The record is from RNAcentral.